AGGAUGAGACUCCAAAAUUGCUAAAAGCUAACAGCUCUUGGAAGGGGAUAAAGAAUGAGUGAAAGUGAAUCUGAGAGAAGUAAAGUGCCUUGUCCAAGAUCCCAUAAAAUAGAUAAUUAUGGAGGGAGUGUCUGCGAUUUCAGUCCAGUAAUAGAUCCAAUGAAGAAUAUGGAAAUUUAUCCAAAAUGUUUAGC
Tupaia belangeri chinensis (Chinese tree shrew) is the source of this 194-nucleotide long non-coding RNA. RefSeq lists it as uncharacterized. The transcript is spliced from 3 exons. NCBI's taxonomy places the organism in Eukaryota, Metazoa, Chordata, Mammalia, Scandentia, Tupaiidae. The record is from RefSeq and is a predicted model, not a curated record.